Molecule: long non-coding RNA, 319 nt
Organism: Melitaea cinxia (Glanville fritillary)
Lineage: Eukaryota; Metazoa; Arthropoda; Insecta; Lepidoptera; Nymphalidae
Exons: 2
Source: RefSeq, a predicted model, not a curated record
GGUUCUCUUUCGUUAAACGCAAGAACACAGUAUACACUUCAGUUAAAAGGUGUCAAUAGACAAAAUGAGCUGCUCCAAACGUGCGGCGUCUCGCUGCCGUAUGACAUCAGCGGGAAAUGAAUCUUGAGUCCUGGUAUUCUCACUUAAAAAUAAAAUCGCACACACCACCGGCGCACUAACAAAGAUGUGAUAAUCCAAAUUUUUUGACUUUUAUUACCUAGUCCAGACGAAGAAUGAAAGUGUACUAAAUCAAAAUAUAACAUUUUCAUACCAUCCCGGAAUAUAGAUGCAGAAUUAUUAAAAUUUAAUGCCAAACAAA